AACGCCGCCAGGCCAGGCCUACGAGGCAGGCGCAGCCACACCACCAGGCAGAGGGCAGCAGGCCACUGGAGGCAAGAAUAGUGCCGCCGGUCUGGUCCCCUUACCCCUGAAAGACGCAGGAGGCUUCACGUCGCAGAGCCAGCCAGAGCCCCUCUUCUCCUUUGCCGGCUCCCUCGUGCUUGACCAGGAGCCCCAAGAAAACCUUGCCGGAGACUUCGGUCGGGCCUCCUGUCAAUUUCAAUUACCCGGAGAGCCUAAGAGCCUGAGGCCGAGAUAAUAGCAAUCCAAAGGGUUGGAGUUUGUGGAGACAGAAAAGAACAAUCAGAGACAGGAGAGGAGGCAGGAGGGAAAAGGCGCGUGUGAGCCGGGAAAAGCCUGUUCUGAGUACCGUCUGCCCUUCUGUUUUGAGAGCUGUCCUGGAGAUCAGUCUCGUUUACAUCUCGGGGCUUCCUCCCCCUCUUGUUGCCUCCUACCCCAGCAUUUCUCAGAAUGGUUACGCUUUUGCAGCAAAGCCUUACAGUUCCAACACUGGAUUCAGACAGAACAGAGGAAGGCAUUGCCCACGUGCCUCUCCUCUUUACACUUCGAUUGCCCCUCCUGAUGGGAGCUUCCAGAGGAUGAGCAUCUCUCCCUGGGCUAGGAACUGAUCGCUGCGCCCGCCCUGCUGUGUCCCUCGAGACGGCAGACCUGCGGUGAAUAGCUGUGCUGAGCCUGCAAGGCAAUCUCGUGACUGUGGUAAAAGGGACAUUCCUAUCAUAUGUGAUGUAUGCUCUUUGUUCCAAGACAGUGUCUAACCACUCUGUACA
Equus quagga is the source of this 806-nucleotide long non-coding RNA. RefSeq lists it as uncharacterized. The transcript is spliced from 4 exons. The record is from RefSeq and is a predicted model, not a curated record. Lineage: Eukaryota; Metazoa; Chordata; Mammalia; Perissodactyla; Equidae.